GAUGAACGCUAGCGGCAGGCUUAAUACAUGCAAGUUGAGGGGCAGCAUGAUAUACGCGAGUAUAUUGAUGGCGACCGGCGGACGGGUGAGUAAUAGGUAGGAGACCUACCUCAUACAGGGGGAUAGCAUAGAGAAAUCUGUGGUAAUACCCCAUGAGGUUAUAUGAAUAGAGGCAUAUAAUCAAAGCAUAAGCGAUUAUGCGGUAUGAGAGGGGCCUACUGACCAUUAGCUAGUUGGUGAGGUAAGGGCUCACCAAGGCGAAGAUGGUUAGGGGUUUUGAGAGAGAGACCCCCCACAUUGGAACUGAGAGACGGUCCAGACUCCUACGGGAGGCAGCAGUAGGGAAUAUUGGGCAAUGGGCGAAAGCCUGACCCAGCCAUGCCGCGUGAAGGAAGACGGCCUUAUGGGUUGUAAACUUCUUUACUACGCGAAUAGAGGUUAGUACGAGAUACUAAUAGGAAGGUAGUGUACGUAAAAGGUAAACACCGACCGUAACUACCGUCGCCG
RNAcentral lists this ribosomal RNA (507 nucleotides) under uncultured bacterium. RNAcentral describes it as "bacterial SSU rRNA". It matches the Rfam family "Bacterial small subunit ribosomal RNA", at positions 28 to 527 of the family's 1533-position model. The record is from RNAcentral.